This 538-nucleotide ribosomal RNA is filed under the name uncultured bacterium. Its description in RNAcentral is "partial 16S ribosomal RNA". It matches the Rfam family "Bacterial small subunit ribosomal RNA", at positions 355 to 885 of the family's 1533-position model. The record is from RNAcentral.
UGGGGAAUUUUGGACAAUGGGCGCAAGCCUGAUCCAGCAAUGCCGCGUGCAGGAUGAAGGCCUUCGGGUUGUAAACUGCUUUUGUACGGAACGAAAAGCCUCUCUCUAGUACAGGGGGGUGAUGACGGUACCGUAAGAAUAAGCACCGGCUAACUACGUGCCAGCAGCCGCGGUAAUACGUAGGGUGCAAGCGUUAAUCGGAAUUACUGGGCGUAAAGCGUGCGCAGGCGGUUUUGUAAGACAGUGGUGAAAUCCCCGGGCUCAACCUGGGAACUGCCAUUGUGACUGCAAGGCUGGAGUGCGGCAGAGGGGGAUGGAAUUCCGCGUGUAGCAGUGAAAUGCGUAGAUAUGCGGAGGAACACCGAUGGCGAAGGCAAUCCCCUGGGCCUGCACUGACGCUCAUGCACGAAAGCGUGGGGAGCAAACAGGAUUAGAUACCCUGGUAGUCCACGCCCUAAACGAUGUCAACUGGUUGUUGGGGAUUUAUUUCUUCAGUAACGAAGCUAACGCGUGAAGUUGACCGCCUGGGGGAGUACGG